AUGGCUCAGGACGAACGCUGGCGGCGUGCCUAAUACAUGCAAGUAGAACGCUGAAGAGAGGAGCUUGCUCUUCUUGGAUGAGUUGCGAACGGGUGAGUAACGCGUAGGUAACCUGCCUUGUAGCGGGGGAUAACUAUUGGAAACGAUAGCUAAUACCGCAUAACAAUGGAUGACCCAUGUCAUUUAUUUGAAAGGGGCAAAUGCUCCACUACAAGAUGGACCUGCGUUGUAUUAGCUAGUAGGUGAGGUAACGGCUCACCUAGGCGACGAUACAUAGCCGACCUGAGAGGGUGAUCGGCCACACUGGGACUGAGACACGGCCCAGACUCCUACGGGAGGCAGCAGUAGGGAAUCUUCGGCAAUGGGGGCAACCCUGACCGAGCAACGCCGCGUGAGUGAAGAAGGUUUUCGGAUCGUAAAGCUCUGUUGUAAGUCAAGAACGAGUGUGAGAGUGGAAAGUUCACACUGUGACGGUAGCUUACCAGAAAGGGACGGCUAACUACGUGCCAGCAGCCGCGGUAAUACGUAGGUCCCGAGCGUUGUCCGGAUUUAUUGGGCGUAAAGCGAGCGCAGGCGGUUUGAUAAGUCUGAAGUUAAAGGCUGUGGCUCAACCAUAGUUCGCUUUGGAAACUGUCAAACUUGAGUGCAGAAGGGGAGAGUGGAAUUCCAUGUGUAGCGGUGAAAUGCGUAGAUAUAUGGAGGAACACCGGUGGCGAAAGCGGCUCUCUGGUCUGUAACUGACGCUGAGGCUCGAAAGCGUGGGGAGCGAACAGGAUUAGAUACCCUGGUAGUCCACGCCGUAAACGAUGAGUGCUAGGUGUUGGAUCCUUUCCGGGAUUCAGUGCCGCAGCUAACGCAUUAAGCACUCCGCCUGGGGAGUACGACCGCAAGGUUGAAACUCAAAGGAAUUGACGGGGGCCCGCACAAGCGGUGGAGCAUGUGGUUUAAUUCGAAGCAACGCGAAGAACCUUACCAGGUCUUGACAUCCCGAUGCUAUUUCUAGAGAUAGAAAGUUACUUCGGUACAUCGGUGACAGGUGGUGCAUGGUUGUCGUCAGCUCGUGUCGUGAGAUGUUGGGUUAAGUCCCGCAACGAGCGCAACCCCUAUUGUUAGUUGCCAUCAUUCAGUUGGGCACUCUAGCGAGACUGCCGGUAAUAAACCGGAGGAAGGUGGGGAUGACGUCAAAUCAUCAUGCCCCUUAUGACCUGGGCUACACACGUGCUACAAUGGUUGGUACAACGAGUUGCGAGUCGGUGACGGCAAGCUAAUCUCUUAAAGCCAAUCUCAGUUCGGAUUGUAGGCUGCAACUCGCCUACAUGAAGUCGGAAUCGCUAGUAAUCGCGGAUCAGCACGCCGCGGUGAAUACGUUCCCGGGCCUUGUACACACCGCCCGUCACACCACGAGAGUUUGUAACACCCGAAGUCGGUGAGGUAACCUUUUGGAGCCAGCCGCCUAAGGUGGGAUAGAUGAUUGGGGUGAAG
This 1482-nucleotide ribosomal RNA is filed under the name uncultured bacterium. RNAcentral's name for it is "bacterial SSU rRNA". It matches the Rfam family "Bacterial small subunit ribosomal RNA". The record is from RNAcentral.